AUAUACAACAGUCCUCUAGAUAACUACUCCAGCCAAGUUGUUUUCUUCCUUUCGAGGUUUUUCUCUUCCUCAUGUUCGUAAUAUGAUGCCAACACGAAACAUAAAUCUGCAGAAGUAGAAAAAAAAAAUCUCUCUUCCAAUAAGUAUGUGUAAAAGAAAGGAAAACACUUAACAACCCUUAUAAAGUGUAUAGAUGAGAAGAUAUUAAAGUUUGGUUAGUCGAACCACAAAAUCAGCCUGGAAGCUCCGAGAAAUA
RNAcentral lists this long non-coding RNA (256 nucleotides) under Erythranthe guttata (spotted monkey flower). RNAcentral's name for it is "long non-coding RNA (EGUT_LNC002765)". The record is from RNAcentral. Lineage: Eukaryota; Viridiplantae; Streptophyta; Magnoliopsida; Lamiales; Phrymaceae.